CCACGCCCGCUCAAGAAACUACAAUGAGUUGACGGGGCCCGCACAAGCGGUGGAGCAUGUGGUUUAAUUCGAUGAUACGCGAGGACCUUACCUGGGCUCAAAUGUAUGUUGACGUAUUCUGAAAGGGAUACUUCUUCGGACAAUAUACAAGGUGCUGCAUGGUUGUCGUCAGCUCGUGCCGUGAGGUGUCGGGUUAAGUCCCAUAACGAGCGCAACCCCUAUCAUUAGUUGCCAUCAGGUCAAGCUGGGGACUCUAAUGAAACUGCCUACGCAAGUAGUGAGGAAGGUGGGGAUGACGUCAAAUCAGCACGGCCCUUACGUCCAGGGCUACACACGUGCUACAAUGGCCGGUACAAAGGGCAGCUACCUGGUGACAGGAUGCUAAUCUCAAAAGCCGGUCUCAGUUCGGAUCGGAGUCUGCAACCCGACUCCGUGAAGCUGGAUUCGCUAGUAAUCGCGCAUCAGCCACGGCGCGGUGAAUACGUUCCCGGGCCUU
This 496-nucleotide ribosomal RNA is filed under the name uncultured Sphingobacteriales bacterium. Its description in RNAcentral is "bacterial SSU rRNA". It matches the Rfam family "Bacterial small subunit ribosomal RNA", at positions 904 to 1382 of the family's 1533-position model. The record is from RNAcentral. Lineage: Bacteria; Pseudomonadati; Bacteroidota; Sphingobacteriia; Sphingobacteriales.